AUUGAACGCUGGCGGCAGGCCUAACACAUGCAAGUCGAACGCGAAAGCCCUUCGGGGUAAGUAGAGUGGCGGACGGGUGAGUAAUGCUUGGGAAUCUGCCCGGUAGUGGGGGACAACAGUUGGAAACGACUGCUAAUACCGCAUACGACCUACGGGUGAAAGCAGGGGAUCUUCGGACCUUGCGCUAUCGGAUGAGCCCAAGUCGGAUUAGCUAGUUGGUGAGGUAAGAGCUCACCAAGGCGACGGUCCGUAGCUGGUUUGAGAGGAUGAUCAGCCACACUGGGACUGAGACACGGCCCAG
This 301-nucleotide ribosomal RNA is filed under the name uncultured bacterium. RNAcentral describes it as "bacterial SSU rRNA". It matches the Rfam family "Bacterial small subunit ribosomal RNA", at positions 30 to 334 of the family's 1533-position model. The record is from RNAcentral.